CCUACGGUGGGCUGCAGUGAGGAAUAUUGGUCAAUGGACGAGAGUCUGAACCAGCCAAGUAGCGUGAAUGAUGACUGCCCUCUGGGUUGUAAACUUCUUUUAUAUGGGAAUAAAACGUUCCACGUGUGGGUUUUUGUAUGUACCCUAUGAAUAAGGAUCGGCCAACUCCGUGCCAGCAGCCGCGGUAAUACGGAGGAUCCGAGCGUUACCCGGAUUUAUUGGGUUUAAAGGGAGAGUCGGUGGAUUGUUAAGUCAGUUGUGAAAGUUUGCGGCUAAACCGUAAAAUUGCAGUUGAAACUGGCAGUCUUGAGUACAGUAGAGGUGGGCGGAAUUCGAGGUGUAGCGGUGAAAGGCUUAGAUAUCACGAAGAACUCCGAUUGCGAAGGCAGUUCACUGGACUGCAACUGACACUGAGGCUCGAAAGUGUGGGGAUCAAACAGGAUUAGAUACCCGGGUAGUC
This 460-nucleotide ribosomal RNA is filed under the name uncultured bacterium. Its description in RNAcentral is "partial 16S ribosomal RNA". It matches the Rfam family "Bacterial small subunit ribosomal RNA", at positions 338 to 795 of the family's 1533-position model. The record is from RNAcentral.